This 83-nucleotide transfer RNA is filed under the name Halobacteriales archaeon QS_4_69_34. Its description in RNAcentral is "tRNA-Leu". It matches the Rfam family "tRNA". Rfam says of the family: Transfer RNA (tRNA) molecules are approximately 80 nucleotides in length. Their secondary structure includes four short double-helical elements and three loops (D, anti-codon, and T loops). Lineage: Archaea; Methanobacteriati; Methanobacteriota; Halobacteria; Halobacteriales. The record is from RNAcentral.
GAGGGAGUAGCCAAGCGGCCAACGGCGCGGGUCUUAAGAACCCGUCCCGUAGGGGUUCCGGGGUUCGAAUCCCCGCUCCCUCA